RNAcentral lists this ribosomal RNA (480 nucleotides) under uncultured bacterium. RNAcentral's name for it is "partial 16S ribosomal RNA". It matches the Rfam family "Bacterial small subunit ribosomal RNA", at positions 28 to 507 of the family's 1533-position model. The record is from RNAcentral.
GAUGAACGCUGGCGGCGUGCUUAACACAUGCCAGUCGAACGGAACUACUCCAAUGAGAGUCUUCGGAAAGGAUUUGGUUUAGUUUAGUGGCGGACGGGUGAGUAACGCGUGGGUAACCUGCCCUAUACAGGGGGAUAACAGUUGGAAACGACUGUUAAUACCGCAUAAGCGCACAGGAGCGCAUGCUCCGGUGUGAAAAACUCCGGUGGUAUAGGAUGGACCCGCGUCUGAUUAGCUGGUUGGCGGGGUAACGGCCCACCAAGGCGACGAUCAGUAGCCGGCCUGAGAGGGUGAACGGCCACAUUGGGACUGAGACACGGCCCAAACUCCUACGGGAGGCAGCAGUGGGGAAUAUUGCACAAUGGGGGAAACCCUGAUGCAGCGACGCCGCGUGAGCGAAGAAGUAUCUCGGUAUGUAAAGCUCUAUCAGCAGGGAAGAAAAUGACGGUACCUGACUAAGAAGCCCCGGCUAACUACGUG